UGGGGAAUUUUGGACAAUGGGCGAAAGCCUGAUCCAGCAAUGCCGCGUGUGUGAAGAAGGCCUUCGGGUUGUAAAGCACUUUUGUCCGGAAAGAAAAUCCUUGGCUCUAAUACAGUCGGGGGAUGACGGUACCGGAAGAAUAAGCACCGGCUAACUACGUGCCAGCAGCCGCGGUAAUACGUAGGGUGCAAGCGUUAAUCGGAAUUACUGGGCGUAAAGCGUGCGCAGGCGGUUUGCUAAGACCGAUGUGAAAUCCCCGGGCUCAACCUGGGAACUGCAUUGGUGACUGGCAGGCUAGAGUAUGGCAGAGGGGGGUAGGAAUUCCACGUGUAGCAGUGAAAUGCGUAGAGAUGUGGAGGAAUACCGAUGGCGAAGGCAGCCCCCUGGGCCAAUACUGACGCUCGUGCACGAAAGCGUGGGGAGCAAAACAGGAUUAGAUACCCCUGGUAGUCCACGCCCUAAAACGAUGUCAACUAGUUGUUGGGGAUUCAUUCCUUAGUAACGUAGCUAACGCGUGAAGUUGACCGCCUGGGGAGUACGGUCGCAAGAUU
This 551-nucleotide ribosomal RNA is filed under the name uncultured bacterium. RNAcentral's name for it is "partial 16S ribosomal RNA". It matches the Rfam family "Bacterial small subunit ribosomal RNA", at positions 355 to 895 of the family's 1533-position model. The record is from RNAcentral.